RNAcentral lists this ribosomal RNA (919 nucleotides) under uncultured archaeon. Its description in RNAcentral is "bacterial SSU rRNA". It matches the Rfam family "Archaeal small subunit ribosomal RNA", at positions 1 to 922 of the family's 1478-position model. The record is from RNAcentral.
UUCCGGUUGAUCCUGCCGGAGGUCAUUGCUAUCGGAGUCCGAUUUAGCCAUGCUAGUCGCACGGGUUCAGACCCGUGGCGGAAAGCUCAGUAACACGUGGCCGAUCUGCCCUACAGAUCGAAAUAUCCUCGGGAAACUGAGGUCAAUGUCGAAUACGGGCCCCUUCCUUGAACGGUUGGGCCCGGAAACGUUCCGACGCUGUAGGAUGAGGCUGCGGCCGAUUAGGUUGACGGUGGGGUAACGGCCCACCGUGCCGAUAAUCGGUAUGGGUUGUGAGAGCAAGAGCCCAGAGACAGAAUCUGAGACAAGAUUCCGGGCCCUACGGGGCGCAGCAGGCGCGAAACCUUUACACUGCACGACAGUGCGAUAGGGGGACUCCGAGUGCGGAGGCAUAGUGCCUUCGCUUUUAUGCACCCUAAGGCGGUGCAUGAAUAAGAGCUGGGCAAGACCGGUGCCAGCCGCCGCGGUAACACCGGCAGCUCGAGUGAUGACCGAUUUUAUUGGGCCUAAAGCGUUCGUAGCCGGCCGGGCAAGUUCGUCGGGAAAUCUACCAGCUCAACUGGUAGGCGUCCGGCGAAAACUGCUCGGCUUGGGACAGGGAGACUCGAAGGGUACGUCCGGGGUAGGAGUGAAAUCCCGUAAUCCUGGACGGACCACCGAUGGCGAAAGCACUUCGAGAGAACUGAUCCGACGGUCAGGAAUGAAAGCUGGGGUCUCGAACCGGAUUAGAUACCCGGGUAGUCCCAGCUGUAAACGAUGUUCGCUAGGUGCGACGCAGACUACGAGUCUGCGUUGUGCCGUAGGGAAGCCGAGAAGCGAACCGCCUGGGAAGUACGUCCGCAAGGAUGAAACUUAAAGGAAUCGGCGGGGGAGCACUACAACCGGAGGAGCCUGCGGUUUAAUUGGACUCAACGCCGGA